Molecule: long non-coding RNA, 4950 nt
Organism: Monopterus albus (swamp eel)
Lineage: Eukaryota; Metazoa; Chordata; Actinopteri; Synbranchiformes; Synbranchidae
Exons: 3
Source: RefSeq, a predicted model, not a curated record
ACAUGCGUAGGAUCACCAGUACAGUUAGUAGCACUCGAGAUGUCGAGGAGCCAGUGCUUCGCCGGGGUAAGCACUCUCAGUCUCCCAUUAUGGAAACGGGACACCUUGGAAGAGCCAUCCCCCAUGCACCUGUGACCUCACAGUCUUGGGGCCGAUCAUACACCCACCAACCACUGGCUGCUGAUACCGCAAGCCCCACUCCAAAACCGAGCCACAGCCCAGCUUCCUGGAGAUGGCAGCUACCAAGCAGUGACUCACACCACCUGGGAAGUUCAUAUGACCAGGGGUCUAAGACAGCAGGGGCCCCCUCCAGAGGAGGGGACCUGUGGUCCAAUCGGAAUCAAGGGUCGGGGGCCAGAGCGGAGGGGAGGAGCGGAGUGGGAAAUCGACCAUGGAGCCGUCAGUCUGAACAACAUUAGACUGCUCAGGUUUGGGCACAACCUCUACCGCUUAGAGGACAGCACUCCAUUAAUCUCUCAGUGACACAAGCAAAGCCAAACACCAGUCUCUCAUCAUCUAAUGGCUACAACUAUUACCACCAUCUACUACAGGCAACAUCUGCAGCUUUCAUAACAAGCAAAGAAAAGAAAAACAGCGGUUGCAGCCACAUAGAAGAACAAACCACAGACCCGACCCUGAGUGUUGCCUGAGAUGUGAACGGCUGUUCCUAUCCAGAACUUUCUCUGUACCAAAAGAGGCAUAAAUGGAGAGACAGUACCUGGACAGUGGCGUGGACGUCGCCUCACCAGCCCGUGUAUCCUCUUCUGCUUCUUGUGUUGGAUGUAUUCUAGUGUAAUCCUGAAACUUGACAAGGGAGAGGUUGGCAUGCUGAGGAUGGCUGGAGGUUUUCUUGCAUGCCAAAGAGAGUUGGAGGAAGAAGGACUUUAAAUUUAGGAAUGCCUUUCCCAGAGGACCAUUACAACUGGAUAUGUUGCUUUUGAAUCAGACUUACAACAACCUGAACUUCAUUCAACAGCAGUACAAUGUUAAAGAUGCAUCUUCAUCUCAUAGGGCUGGAUCUUCAUGCAGAAUAGACAGAUCUUUACCUUAAAUGUGACCAAAAACAGGAAGCGAAUUACCAUCUUUGCAGACUUGCAUUAUAAUAUUUGCUCUUUCUUACUGAGCUCAUAGUUGCUUUGAUGACUCAAUCAGGCCAUUAACUUUAUAAUUUACUCACAUAUAUAUACAAAUGCAUACAGACAACAACAAACACGUGCAUUUAUGACUUUAGGUUUACUUUUACCCGCUGUCACCACCUUCUGGCAUGCAGUGACCCUCAACUGGAUUUAAUUUGGGGUCUUGUGUUGAGCAAGCAUUUGCAUGUUUCCAAGUAGUACAUGAAGAGUGCAUAAAAAAGUGUGACUCAGCAUACACUGCUUAAUGGAUUGCUGGUUGGCCACAUUUUAGAAGUGUACACACACACACACACGUAUAUGCUUUCUGACAGACUGGGACCUUAUACUUUCUGACAUUUUUCACCACAGUUUUUUUUUUUCCCACCGUAAUUCGCUUCCUGUUCUGUAUCAUCCUCUCCUUUAUUGCUAAACCAUAUCAAGACAAAAAGAUCAUUGUUUGCACGUAAUGAAAUGUAAUGCACAUGUAGGAAAAAUAGAAUGAUUGAUUGGAGGGGGCAUUGUUUAUAUCCUCAAACCAUGCUGCAAUUUCCAUGGUGCUUUGUUUUAUAGCUGUUGCAACUGUCCGUGUUCAUGUAUUUACGUGAGAGCCGUGGCAAAAAUUUCGGAUUACCAGCAAACCUGGCUUGGCAGGACGGACACUACAGUGCUGCUGUAAAUACUGUGCACAAGCCAGCCAGUGGUAGGCAAGACAAGAGGGUUGGGCUUCUAACAACAAAGAGCUGAAAGUCCAGCUUGUAUAUGACUGGAUUCGCCGUGCGAAUCGUCCCAGCUUACCUCCAUUUCAUAUUUCUAUAGAGGUAUAUUAUUUUGUUACAUCAUAAAAUAUCAACUUGUGGUUGGUAUGUCAGAGCGGUCUUUCAUUGGUGGGGCCCAUAGCAGCAAUAGGGGUGCCAUGGAAACUAAUUUAGUGGCCGCCAGUAAUGAAACACGGUGUUACAUUUUCUGUAAAGUUUGAACAGGUUCCUGCUGGCUUUUUGGACCGACACAUAAGAUUAACUGAUAUGCGAUGUAUACUUUGAUCUUGGAGAAAAACUUAUGAAUGUCGCCAAGGAAUGCAGCUGAGAAUGACCAAUUGCUUCGUGGCUUGAUGCACCGAUCCAACACGACUGCGCUCUCUGUCUGACAGCACGAUUUAACCUUAACUGUGACAACUCUGAACACACGGGAUCUGCUCAAGAACCUGGAACUUUUAAAGUCUGUUUGUUCUGCUGUUGAUUUCAGUGCUGUUGAGUCAGAGUGUGCAGUUUCAGUCUGACCACAUUUCUCAGUUCUCCACCAUCUUAGCUGUAAUAUUUAUUAGUGUCUAUAUAUGUAUAAGUUCUUUUAUUGUGAAGAGGUCUGCUGGGUGCCAAGAGCCCGGUCUGUUGCCACUUUACCAUUUAUAUCUGCAAGUAGGUGAUUAUAUGCAGUCAAACUGUCUCCCAUGCGAUAUCUGUAACUUCGUGUCAUCGUACCGAUCCUAGAUGGGGGCUGUGAAGUGAGAAGUCCAAACUGAAGUGUACGUUUGCCUUCAGAAUGCACAUUUUCACUACUUUUACCCUUUUGCUAGUGAUAUCUGCAGCAUGCUCAUUUGUGCCUUGAUGUACAGUAAGAGAGAGAGACUGUCCCAGCACAUUCAGAUUUUCACCCUGUUCUUCCACUUGCUCUGCAGAUAACUGACGUACAGUACUGAUUGUAAAGCUACCUUCUUAACGUUAUAUGAUCUUUACAUUUGUGUUGCAAAAAGUAUUUUGGUUUAAAACGAUGUUUUGUGUUGGAGCUACGCUCCCUUUUUAAGAAUAUAGACUGCACCGCUCCAGAAAGCCAUGUCCUCUGGGUUUGUCUGUUGGAGUUGCAGGGUGUAGUGCAGCUUCAGAAAGGAUUUCCUUGUGGCCUCUGUACAGCUACUGUUUGCUCUAUGAUGGAGCAAAAACAGACCUGGCAUAAGUGUUCAGAACAAUCAGUGCACAUGCCAAGGCUUGAUGAUUAUACAGUCCUUCUUCUCUGUCUUGUAUUGUUUCUACCACCACUCAUUUAACAGUACCGUUUGUCAUGUAUCAUUAGGGAAAGCAGUUUCUUCUCUCCUCUUCUUCUUCCGAGUCUCUGGAUCUUCCUUGGAUUCUCUCUUUUUUUUUUUUUCCUAAAAUGGAAGCCAUUGUCCUAAACAGUGAUUAUAUGUUUAGUUUGGGAGUUGGAGAGUUGUUGCUUUUUGAAGGCCAGAGGCCUGUUACUAGAUAGCUGAAGGGUCAAAGGUCAGGGAUGCAUCUAAUCCUGCUUCUACAUCUUCACUGACGAUUUCUAAUUGUAGGAGGGAGAAAACAGAUGAGGGUGUCCGAUGUCUGGUGCAGCCAGCACUCAUAAUGCCAGACAUGCACAUGGUUGUCCUUUUGGUGUAUGUUGAUUUUAAUAUAUCAGUAAGGUCUCUUGUUCAGAACUUGUCAUGUGAACUGGCGUGUUGUGAACUGCUGCAGGUGCUGAAUGACAAAAAUGCACGUUUUGUCAGGGUUUGCAUACAGGGCCCAUUUUGUUUAUUUAUCUUUAAGGUUGACUUCACCGUGGGUCAGGGUUACUGUGUAUAGCAACUUGGUGAUACAAGUCAUAACAUCAUAGUCCUCCUCAGCUUUUAGCCUGCCUUACUGCUGCCAUAGAGUUUCUUCCCUCCAUGCAGUAAGUGAUACUCUGCCAUGCAAACAGUUUCACCUGUUACUACACAUAAACUGUGUGACCUCCUUAAUUCUUCUACCUUUCUUACCUUCUACUCUUAAACCUUUCUCUCACCCUGAGGCAAGUGCUUGGGUAUCCCAGGAAGAGCCCAACUGUCCCAAACUUGUAGUACUGGUUUUCUGGCACAUUGGAGGGUUUCCCUCCUGAAGACAGGCUUCAAAAGAAGCAGGGCUCUUUAAAUGGCUAAUGUGAAACCCCAUCCUCUGCUGUGCACACCACCUCUCUUCCUUACAUGGCUGUAAAUUGCACUAAUAUCACUACUUACCAACUGUAUAUCUUCGCCAUCCACUGAAAGUUGCCUAAAUAAAAUCUGUGUGCCGUGAAAAAGACUGGUUGCAACUUCUGUCUGUAUGUUUUGGGCAUGUCACUACUCGCAUGUCGCUUAUUACUUCCAGUGGCAAGAGCCUGUUCACUGUUGGCAUGGUAACAUGUACUCACUGGUCGUGUGGGACUCGAAUCAAGACUUUUGUGCCAGUAUAAAGAGACAUCUGGGUGCUGUUUCAGAGUUUGUCGGUUCCUCUAAUCCACAUGUGAAUGAUGGCUGUUCAGGGGAACAUUUGUUAAAUCAGAGAGCAGGUAGGGUAGCUGCUACUGGAGAAGAACAUUUUGGACAUGGCUUAGGAUAAUUUAAAAAGUCCAGCAAGGACAAGAGGUGGUUGAUUAGUGGAGAGAAAUUGGGCUGCUUCGGCUUUCCUGCUCAAAUACCAGCUAGAAAUUUAACAGAAUCCUCUAAAGCUCUUCUGGUGUAUGCAUAAACAUCCGUUAUUUACACGUCAUAGUUUGUUCCCCCUUUAAUAAAGUAGACUAGAAUAUACUAAGUGGAGAUUGUUGUGGCUCGGAAACGGCUCUCGGGCUGUGAGAAGGCCCUUUUUUGCUCAAAGGCCUCUUGCGGAUCCAGGGUUAUGGUGUCAUUGGGUGUCAUAGGCUGUAAUCUGCACUUAACCAGCACUUAACUUUUAGACUUCAAACGGCUAACACCACCUUUAGUCAUCUUCAUUAGAAAGUUUCCUCUUUUGUGUCCCAGUAUUGUACUUGGUCUGUUUUCAGUAGCUGAUGCUGAAUUUGUUUGUGCCCCAGCCAAGAAUCUUUUUUUUUUUUUUUUUUAAGAGAA